This 2944-nucleotide long non-coding RNA is filed under the name Equus caballus (horse). RNAcentral describes it as "lncRNA (ENSECAG00000043971.1)". Lineage: Eukaryota; Metazoa; Chordata; Mammalia; Perissodactyla; Equidae. The record is from RNAcentral.
GCUCUGUCCCCAUGCCAGCGGGGGCAGCAGAAGCGGUGGCAGCAGAAACUCUGACUGCCCAUGGGUCCUGUCCCCAUGCUAUUCUACUCUCUAAAUAAAAGAGCACUACUGCCAGAUCUUGAGAGUCUAAGAAAUCUUUCUUUCGACUCCUCGGCUCACCGACCCCGCAUCAGUAGUGCUCCUUUAUUCAGAGAAUAGCAUGGGGACAGGACCCAUGGGCGGUGAAGGGAUGCAAUGUGUUGAGGGUAGGGCUGAAUUGAUAAGGCAUAGGUAUGUGAGUUAUUUCUUUACAAACAAAGGAAAGAUUAUGUUAAAAAAAAGUCAUUAAAAUGAUGUCAGUGCAGGUGGGUUCUGGUUAUCGGGUGGUCCUAUAACUUUGGAUAAGAAUCAGGUCGAAUCAGGUCAGGACGUCUGUCCUGUGCUUCCCUGAGGAUGAUGAGGUAGAUUGGUGUGUGGGACAGGGCGCCGUGGGCCUCUCUCCGUGGGGCAGCCUUGAUCCUCAUCAGUAAACGCACAGCAUUUUAUUGUCUUGUGCUCCUUCAUGAGAUGGUCAGUCAGGUGUGGCCGGGAGAGGAAACAGAGGAUAUGCUCACCCAGAGAUGGGCGGUGCCCAUGCAGGGCCACAGGGGAAAGAGGCAGAGUGGUCAAGAGAAGACAGGACAGAGGCUUGGGCCAUGGCCCUUAUUGGGGUUUCUGCGGGAAAGGUGGGGCAGGGCGCACAGUUGAGGACUGGCCAGUUGGAAUAAUUGUGGAGGGUUUAGGAUUAUGGAGGUGGUCCCUGGUUGCCUGGUCCCUGCAUGAUGAAGGCAGAGGAAUAUUCCUUUCCAGGGUGCAGGGGCCUGACAGAGGAGGUGGGGCUCUGGAAUGCCUCAUUUGCAUAUCAAAGUCAUGCUGGGGUCCUUUGCUAUCUCUAAGAAUUGGCUUGCCCUGGAGGGGCUGUCUCUCCCCAGCCAGAAAAGUAUUUUAAGAUGUCAAAAUGUCAUAAUAUACAGAAAACAAACCAAUGUGUGUGUGUGUGUGUGUGUAUAUAUACUAUAUAUAUAUAGAAUACAUACAUUGAUCAUUGAUUUUUUUUAUCAUACAUCCGGAUGAAAUGGCCAGAAAAUACAAAGCCAUUUCUCAGAUUUCCUUUUUUUUAAGUUGAGAUAUCACUGACAUAUAACAUUGUAUUAUAAAAUUCCCUUUUUCUUUUCCUCAUUCCAAGUUUACUCAACUCCCUAGAAGUGAUUUCAGCAUUUACAGGGCCGGCCUCACAGCGGCCCGGUGACCCCAGCUGGGAUCGGUGGGCAGCCUCCAGGCUGGAUGCUGGAAUGUUGUUUUUCUUCUUUUUUUUCCCUCAGGCUUAUCUAAGGCUUUGAUCCAGCCCUGGGAAUGGAUUUAACCUUUUUUCCUCCCACUGGGAGGAGAGAACAAUGCAAAUUCUUAACAUUUUUGGUUCACUUCAGGCCCGUCUUUGGGAAAUUUGGCCCCUUUCUCCUCCCACCAGGAGUAUGGAACAACUACAAACUGAGGUUGAUGGCCUUUCACUCGCCUCAAACUCAUUUUGGGGAAUGUUUGGGCCCUUUCUCUUCCUGCCUGGAGGAAAGAGAAAAAAACCGAGAGGCAUUGCCAGCCUGUGUUUUUCCCCACUUUCGCCAGCACUGGCUGAAGUCAGCUAGGGGGUCCCUGAGCCAACACCCCAGGGAUUGGACAUAGCAUUUUAAAUUCCAUAGGUAACUUUUUUUUUUUUUGAGGAAGAUUAGCCCUGAGCUAACAUCUGUGCCCAUCUUCCUCUAUUUUAUAUGUGGCAUGCCACCACAGUAUGGCUUGAUGAGCGAUGCAUAGGUCUGCACCCAGGAUUGGGACCAGUGAACCCCACGUUGCCGAGGCGGAGCGUGUGAACUCAACCGCUGCCCCACCGGACCGGCCCCCCCAUAGGCUAGGAACUGAUUGCUGCGCUCACCUGUGACCACCCAGCUCAAGACAAUAGACUUGCCUCCUGCUAUGCCCACGGAGAGAGCAGACCCACUACCUGCUGUGUCCAUCAAGUGCUGUGUGGACAGGGCAAUCUUGUGACUAUUGUGGGAGGAACAUUUCAAUCAUAUGUGAAACGUCCUGUAUAGGGGUAUAUAACCACUCUGUAUACCUCACUUCUUUGGUGCCCGUUCUUCCUUCGGGAAGAAAGGCCCCAGGCCAUGGUCCUCAGAUUUCAACUCAGAAUAAACUCACCCAAAUUUUCAUUUAUAGAUUGGUUAUGGAUUAUUUUUGGCGACACACACCAGGGGUAACUUCAUGGUGCCCAGGAACCAGGGCUUCAUCAUGCCCCACCCCUCUCCCUUUUCCCUACAUAAUGUUGUAACCACAUUUUACUUAGGGUCAUUCUAGUAAAUCCCACUUCUGCCACCACUACAUGUGUUUGUGUGUGUGUGUGUGUGUGUGUGUGUGGGAGAGACUCAGCAUAUAGCUGUACUUGAGACAGGAAAAAGCCUAACAAGGCAGGACCAUCUGCAAGGCCCCUGGCCUAACAAGAUAAGGCCCCUAACCAAUUGGCAAGCUAGGAGAAUCAGACAGAGGCCACCAAGAUCUACAUUCGGCAGCCUCUGGACUUUCUUGGGCUUACACAUGCACCCUAGAACUCAGGAGUCCACUGAAGGAGACCCUAGCCCCAUCAGUACGGUAGAAAUCACACCUGCGUGGAGAGCUAGCAUGCUAAUGAUACAGGCAACGCAUGUGGUGGCAUGUUGAACAACAGUGCAAGCACAAGCACAACCCCACCUCUCCAUGCCAUGACAAGGCACUCCUCCCCAGCCUCUGCCUAAUAAAAGCCCCACAAUCUCACUCCCUAAGGAGCCGGUCACCCGCCCCUUUCCUUUUGCACCGUCUCCCUUGUGCCUCUCCUGUGCACAAGCUAAUGAACUUCUACUUUUCUACUCCCGUUUGUUGUUGAUCUUGACUUCCAUCCUAG